CCUACGGGAGGCAGCAGUGGGGAAUAUUGCACAAUGGGGGAAACCCUGAUGCAGCGACGCCGCGUGAGUGAAGAAGUGCUUCGGCAUGUAAAGCUCUAUCAGCAGGGAAGAAGAUGACGGUACCUGACUAAGAAGCCCCGGCUAACUACGUGCCAGCAGCCGCGGUAAU
This 169-nucleotide ribosomal RNA is filed under the name uncultured Herbinix sp. Its description in RNAcentral is "partial 16S ribosomal RNA". It matches the Rfam family "Bacterial small subunit ribosomal RNA", at positions 338 to 524 of the family's 1533-position model. Lineage: Bacteria; Bacillati; Bacillota; Clostridia; Lachnospirales; Lachnospiraceae. The record is from RNAcentral.